AGUGGCGCACGGGUGAGUAACGCGUGGAUAAUCUGCCUUUUAGUUGGGAAUAACGUACCGAAAGGUGCGCUAAUACCGGAUAAUACUGCACAACUACUGUUAUGUAGUCAAAGAAGGCCUCUGUUUACAAGCUUUUGCUGAAAGAUGAGUCCGCGUACCAUUAGCUAGUUGGUAGGGUAAUGGCCUACCAAGGCUACGAUGGUUAGCUGGUCUGAGAGGAUGAUCAGCCACACUGGAACUGAGACACGGUCCAGACUCCUACGGGAGGCAGCAGUGAGGAAUAUUGCGCAAUGGGGGCAACCCUGACGCAGCAACGCCGCGUGAGUGAGGAAGGUUUUCGGACCGUAAAGCUCUGUCGAGUGGGAAGAAAUGUAUUAUGGCUAAUAUCCAUGAUACUUGACGGUACCGCUAAAGGAAGCACCGGCUAACUCCGUGCCAGCAGCCGCGGUAAUACGGGGGGUGCAAGCGUUGUUCGGAAUUAUUGGGCGUAAAGAGCGUGUAGGCGGCUGAAUAAGUCAGAUGUGAAAUCCCUGGGCUUAACCCAGGAAGUGCAUUUGAAACUAUUCAGCUUGAGUAGGGGAGAGGAAAGUGGAAUUCCUGGUGUAGAGGUGAAAUUCGUAGAUAUCAGGAGGAACACCGGUGGCGAAGGCGACUUUCUGGCCCUAUACUGACGCUGAGACGCGAGAGCGUGGGUAGCAAACAGGAUUAGAUACCCUGGUAGUCCACGCUGUAAACGAUGUUCACUAGGUGU
This 751-nucleotide ribosomal RNA is filed under the name uncultured bacterium. Its description in RNAcentral is "bacterial SSU rRNA". It matches the Rfam family "Bacterial small subunit ribosomal RNA", at positions 94 to 823 of the family's 1533-position model. The record is from RNAcentral.